GACGAACGCUGGCGGCGUGCUUAACACAUGCACGUCGAACGGAAAGGCCCUGCUUUUGUGGGGUGCUCGAGUGGCGAACGGGUGAGUAACACGUGAGUAACCUGCCCUUGACUUUGGGAUAACUUCAGGAAACUGGGGCUAAUACCGGAUAGGAGCUCCUGCUGCAUGGUGGGGGUUGGAAAGUUUCGGCGGUUGGGGAUGGACUCGCGGCUUAUCAGCUUGUUGGUGGGGUAGUGGCUUACCAAGGCUUUGACGGGUAGCUGGCCUGAGAGGGUGACCGGCCACAUUGGGACUGAGAUACGGCCCAGACUCCUACGGGAGGCAGCAGUGGGGAAUAUUGCACAAUGGGCGGAAGCCUGAUGCAGCAACGCCGCGUGCGGGAUGACGGCCUUCGGGUUGUAAACCGCUUUCGCCUGUGACGAAGCGUGAGUGACGGUAAUGGGUAAAGAAGCACCGGCUAACUACGUG
RNAcentral lists this ribosomal RNA (468 nucleotides) under uncultured bacterium. RNAcentral describes it as "partial 16S ribosomal RNA". It matches the Rfam family "Bacterial small subunit ribosomal RNA", at positions 28 to 507 of the family's 1533-position model. The record is from RNAcentral.